RNAcentral lists this transfer RNA (34 nucleotides) under Macaca fascicularis (crab-eating macaque). Its description in RNAcentral is "partial tRNA-Ser". Lineage: Eukaryota; Metazoa; Chordata; Mammalia; Primates; Cercopithecidae. The record is from RNAcentral.
GAGAAAACUCGCAAGGACUGCUAACCCAUGCCUC